Long non-coding RNA from Labrus bergylta (ballan wrasse), 328 nucleotides. RefSeq lists it as uncharacterized. The record is from RefSeq and is a predicted model, not a curated record. Lineage: Eukaryota; Metazoa; Chordata; Actinopteri; Labriformes; Labridae.
CGGCGGGUCAGUUGCAGCGGGCUACCUGUCUACAGUUGUGCCUUUGACAUUUGAGCUGUUGGUAAUCUUCUAAACUGACUGCGCCAUGGAAGAAGAUGGAAGUGCUUUUUCAGGCAUGGACCAAUCAACAGUUGCAGUAUUGAAAGAAGAUGCCCUCAGAUUGAGAUCCAUCAGCAACCCCUGACAACAUAGAGAACUCGUCCCCUGAGCAUUUCCUGUCCUCUCUUGAUGGAGUUCUUCUCUUUAGUCAUUAACUCUUGAAAUCAGCAGCACAAAAUGCCAGACUGUUUGACAAGUCUGUGAUUGAAUAAAUUGAAAUGGAAUCUCA